GAACAAUAGAAUGGUAGAUAGACAGACAGCAAUAGAUGGAUAGUAUGAUUGAUAGAUGGAUGGAUAGAACAAUAGAACGAUAGAAUGGUA
Molecule: long non-coding RNA, 90 nt
Organism: Sinocyclocheilus anshuiensis
Lineage: Eukaryota; Metazoa; Chordata; Actinopteri; Cypriniformes; Cyprinidae
Exons: 3
Source: RefSeq, a predicted model, not a curated record